UCUAUUUUUGUUUCUUGCUUUUCAAUUCACAUCCCUAGACACUCUCAGUCUCCCUAUAUGAACACACAUAGAAGAAGAAAGAAGGGAGACUCUAGGAACAAAAAGGGGGCUGAAACAAACCGAAAAGCGCACAGCGAUGGCAACAAAAACAAGUGAAAAAACGCUAAGGAGAAGACAUUUUCUUCUUCCCCAAAAUGCAGCUUCCUUUUGUAUAGCUAAUCCCCCAUUGUUCACCACUGUUUUCCUCAAUUAAUACCACCACGUGAAGCCCCCAAAAAGCCAUGAAAGAGCCUAGAAACCUCCAUUAAAAACCCUUUAAACUCUAUUUAAAACCAUCAUCUCCAGCCUGAUACCUCACUGUCCAAACCUUCCGUGAAUCGCAAAUCCCGCCCAAACACAAUCCAUAAAAUAACCCUUUUAACCAUUUGCUAACUCCAUUAAACCAUCCCAUAACAGUAGCCACUAAUCACCAAAAAACAGUCCCAUUUCUGCCAUUAAAAUCGAUCCAAAAACUAGCUGAAACCAACCCAAAACAGCAAAAAAACACAGAAGCUUCAGUCGAGGUCGAGGUUCGAAGUUCUCGAUGCUGUUUUUGUUUGGGGUUUGUUUGUAUGAAAGUCCAGCUGACCUUUGUUCCUGUUGUAUCGAAGAAUAUUUGGCUAUUGAAAGGUCAAUUUCUUGUUCUCCACUUUUUGGAUUCCAGGUCAUAUUAUACUUUCUAUAAGUUUGAGUGUUUUUCUUUUUAUCUUAUCUUCUUUGCUUAAUAUUGAUUUAUGAUUGGUCUUGUUAAAAUAUAUGGAAUACAAUUUGUUUUGGUUGAUCAUCUUGAUAUGAAUAUUGAGUUUUUAAAGUUAAUUACUGAAUCUUAGAAAGGAAAGAAUCAGGGAAAUGUUGUUGCAUGAUCGAUCGAUACUCUCAUUAGUGUUAGUGGGCCAUUCAUUAUUUGUUUACUUUGUUUGGGCUCGAAAUAAAAGAAAGUGACAUGAACUUAAAAGUUUUUUUAUUGUCUUUCUUUUUAAAAGCAUGCUGGCCCAAUAUCUUUAGUAUUUUCUUUAAAUUAGCUAGCCUAUCUUUUUUAAUUAAUAAAUAUUGAAAUAGCUCCAAAUAAUCCCAAAUUCUUCUUGAACAAUUCUUUAUCAAUACAUUAGUAAACAAAUCAGUCUAUGACCUCCGACAAUUCCAACAUAACUUUUGGGCUUCACAAUAAUCUCAAACUUAGAAAGAACAAUCAUAAACAUUGCUAGUAUACUUUUAGGUACGAUUAAAUAAUUUUAUUAUCAUGGUUAUGCGUACGAUUCUCGUGGCAUAACUAUAAUACAUAAAUCUAAAAUCAAGUGUGUUCAUGGGAUUUGAUCCAUUAACUUUAAAUAAUAAUAAAAAUAUUUACAUAUACUCUACCCUUACAAGACCAAGCUUGUGGGAGUACAUUGGGUAUGUUGUUGUUAUAGCAGUAAUAAAAAUAUCAUUAAUCAUGGGUACGUGUGCAUAGUGACCCGACCAGUCGUUAUAUAUAUUUGAGUCAUGUUCCCUCUUAUGAAGCUUUCCAUAUACGUAUUUGUGGUUAUGUAACUUGCGGGGAUGGUUGGUUGGAUUUUGCGGAGGUUUUGGAUUGAUUUGGAACACUUGGUUCUUGGUGUGGAAGCUUAGGUUGGAAGUACUAAUCGAGGUUUGACUUUUAUGAAAACGCUCCUAGAACGGUGUGUGGAUGGUUCCAAUAGGUUCGUAUGAUGGGUUUGGACUUAGGCGUAUACUCGGAAUUGAAUUCGUAGGUUGAAUUGGUUCUUUUUGCCGAAAGUUGACAAUUUAAAGGUUUAGAAUUUUUCAAAAUUUCACCAUGGGUUAACUUUGUGGAUAUCGGAUUCAGAUUUUUGUUAUGGAAAUUGGAAUAGGUCUGUUUUGUCAUUUGGAACUUGUAUGCAAAGUUUGGUGUCAUUUCAAGUUUGUUUGAUAGGAAUCAAACACUUGUUUUUUAUUUUAGAUGUUCUUGAGUUUCAUUGUGAAUUCUAUGUUUUUUCGUAUUCGAUUCAUGGUUCUGGAGGUUAUUUUGAUGUUUUAAGCUCACGAUCAAAUUUGUAUGAUAUUUCUAGACUUGUGUGAAUGUUCGGCGUGGAGCCCCAGGGGCUCAAGUAAGUUUCGGAUGCAUUUUGGAGUGUUUUGAUUAUUUUAGUAAUUGCUGGUUCUUGGCUUGUGCUACAAGUUAUGUAAAUUCGAGUACCAGUAUGCAUUAGCAGUGACCGCAUUUGCGAUGUAUUUAGUCGCAAUUGCGAAGGAGGCUGGGGUGGUGGGAUUUGCAUUUGUGAAGCCAGCCUCACACUUGCGUUGGGGAGCAGCGGCUGAAGUAGACCACAUUUGUGAUUUCCCUCUCGCAUCUAUAAUGCCUACUGGGUUCGCAUUUGCGGACAAUGAGUAGCGUUUGUGACUUCUGUGGGACUUGGCGUACUUCACUUGUGCAAGCCAAUAGUCUCAUUUGUGAUAGUUGCAUUUGUGAACCCAAGGUCACAAAUGCGACUUCGGUAGCUGGGCAUGUAUUUGAGAUUUUGGGACUUAGUCUCAUUUUAUCAUAUUUUGAGCCCUAGACUCGGUGUGAGACAAUUUUAGGAGGGGAUUUUCUCACAUAGCUAUUGGUUUUGACUCAAUUUUUAUAUUUUAACAUGAUUACUUAUGGAUUUUAACAUAAAUAUCAUGGGAUUUAAAGGGAAAUUUUGGAAAUUUUAGACUAUGUUUUGAAAAAUAAAAAUUUGAGAUUUGAGAGUCGAUUUGGACUCUGAUUUUAAAACCAAUUACAAAUAUUUGGACUCGUGGCUUUAUUAUUAGUUGAGAUCUACCCCUCGACUUGGAUUUUGACCGGGCAAGUACGGAGUUGACUUUUGUUGACCUUUUGGGAAUUUUGUAAAGAUCUUAACUUUAUUAAUUGAAACUGAUUUCUCUUGCAUUGUUUGAUAUUAUUAAGUUAUUUUUUGUUAGAUUUGAGCCGUGCGGAGGUAAAAUUUAAAGGAAAAACCUUU
Molecule: long non-coding RNA, 3005 nt
Filed under: Nicotiana tabacum (common tobacco)
Lineage: Eukaryota; Viridiplantae; Streptophyta; Magnoliopsida; Solanales; Solanaceae
Description: long non-coding RNA (NTAB_LNC000643)
Source: RNAcentral